UUCAUUUCACCUCCUCCGGCGCAGGGAGGACCUGGCGACCCAGGCCAUAAAAGCCUUAAUUGUGGAGAUGGAGCGAUGCCCUGUGAUGACAGCAUGAGAGGGGUGAGGUGAUUGCGCAAUUGCUCUUGUGGCAGGGUCAGAGCGGUAUAUUAGCGGAAGAGGAGGUAUGAUACAGCGACCAUGACCACGCAGGUGUGGUUGAACGCCAAUGAAAGUAAGAGAACGAGUCCAAAAGAACACUUUAGCGGAGAACCGUUGAUAAGCACAUCCUGAUUUGGACACUGAAUUGCUACGACGUAAACAAUGAACGGAUGUCCCGUCUUUGUCUUCCACACAUGGAAACCAAAGCCCAGUGUGAACAGACAGCAGGUGCUGGGCCUUCCUAGAAAUAAACACGCUAAAAGCCAGAACCGGGCCAGAGUCCAGACAGAAGGCAGCUGCUCCCCGAGCUGACCCGCGGUCACUGUGCUAUCGGGUCCCGGUAUUCGUGACCUGCUCGACAGGUACACUUCCACAUUCUAAAAACCUUUUUCGAGUCAAGGCAACGACGGAGACAAAUCAAACGCUGUUACGUCUUGUGGUUUUCUUGGCCGCUAUAAAUAACGCCGGAGAGGAGCUGAACUUCGGAGGGAGCGCCCCGUUGCUGGCCGCCGUGCAAUUCCCUGACCUUCUCCCAAGCGAUCCCACACAGAUUUGUACCACAGAGAUGUGAAUUCAUCUCCUUCUAUAUGGAGACGAAGAUGAAGCCAUCAGGAUGAUAAAUUUGACACGAGACUUUAAAUAGCCGCCAUCGCACGUGACGGAUUAGCAGCUACUGAAAUUGUUAAUGCGGCAGGUAGAACGGUGGCAAUUUGAAGGGUUCAAGCAGAGGCUAGAAGACACACACAAAACACACACACAUACAUGGACAUAAUAUCAAUGUAUAAAUGGAGAAAGUAUUGCCACCAUUUUGAUUUAUUGGCUAAUAAAAGUAUCAGCAAAGUAAAACCUAUAAGGACUAAUGGAAAGUUAUGUUUCUAAUACAAUCUUGAUGAGUAGAUACAAAACCAAGUUUUCAGGUGUUCUCUUGUUGUGCUGCAGCAGGGCUGUGCCAACAUGCUCAUUAAACAUUUAGCGCCAUCUGACAAACAGGGUGUGUGUGUGUGUGUCUGUACUGCGUUGUACUGCCAAACAAGCUUGACGUUAACAUUGAACAAACUUGAUAGAUGGAGGCAAAAGUAUCGAUCCGAACCAUGUUUGUCAAUUUCGACUUCUUACAGCUCCUUGCCUCAAGUCAA
Syngnathus acus (greater pipefish) is the source of this 1277-nucleotide long non-coding RNA. RefSeq lists it as uncharacterized. The transcript is spliced from 3 exons. The record is from RefSeq and is a predicted model, not a curated record. NCBI's taxonomy places the organism in Eukaryota, Metazoa, Chordata, Actinopteri, Syngnathiformes, Syngnathidae.